Molecule: RNA transcript, 1729 nt
Organism: Raphanus sativus (radish)
Lineage: Eukaryota; Viridiplantae; Streptophyta; Magnoliopsida; Brassicales; Brassicaceae
Gene name: transcription factor KUA1
Exons: 4
Source: RefSeq, a predicted model, not a curated record
UGUAAUUGUGUAAUAAAUCCGACCAGAUAAUCAAUCCCCCCUUUAUAAGCACCGUAUCUCUCAGAUUCUGUGCUUGCUAGAGAUUAUCUUCGAUCUGAUCGACGGCGGCGGCGGAGGAGGAUCCGAAACCGAGUAGGAUAAUGACUCGCCGUUGCUCUCACUGCAACCAAAACGGACACAACUCACGUACAUGUCCGAAUCGCGGUGUAAAGCUCUUCGGUGUUCGUCUCACCGAGGGCUCGAUCCGCAAAUGUGCCAGUAUGGGCAAUCUCAGCCACCACUCCUCUGGCUCUGGGUUGAGUGGACUCGUGUCGAACAAUCCUGCCUCUCCCGGUGAUGGCCCUGACCACGGCGUCGGCGACGGUUACGCCUCCGAGGACUUUGUUCCCGGCUCAUCAUCCUCUAGCCGCGAGAGGAAGAGAGGGAAUCCAUGGAGGGAAGAGGAGCAUAGGAUGUUCUUGUUGGGUCUACAGAAGCUGGGGAAAGGUGAUUGGAGAGGUAUCUCUAGGAACUAUGUGAAGACGAGGACACCUACUCAGGUCGCGAGUCACGCUCAGAAGUAUUUCAUCAGACUGUAUAAUGUCUCUCGCCGCAAGAGACGUUCUAGUCUCUUUGAUAUUGUUCCUCCUGAUGAGCAGGUAAUUGAUUCUCAGGAACUGCAAGCUGAGGAUGUUCAAAUGCAGGGCAGUGACUCUGUUCCUGCACCGUUGAUCCUGGAGACGGAAGAGUGUGAGUCGAUUAAAUCCACCAACUCUAGUGGUGAUGAGCCUCCGACUGCUUCUUUCGACACCAUCCAAACUCAGCUACAACCACCACCGCCUGGUUCGUUCCCUGUGCUCUAUCCGGCUUACUUCUCACCGUUCUACUCAUUCCCCUUUCCGGUUUGGCCUGCUGCGUAUGUUACCGGGCCACCGGCAAAUGAAGAGACUCACGAGAUUCUCAGGCCGACAGCUGUGCACUCAAAAGCCGCUCCGAUUAAUGUUGAUCAACUUCUUGGUAUGUCUAAGCUCAGCCUCGGAGAGUUUAGCCAAAAUGGUGUACUGGAACAGUCUCUUUCAUUGAAACUAGUUGGAGGUUCGGCUUCAAGGCAAUCAGCCUUUCAUCCAAAUCCAGCCAAUGGUGGUGGUGUACCGGACAUGAACACCGUGAUUCAUGCUGUCUAAAGAUCUACCUGAUGUGACGGUGGUCUCUCAGAUUUGUGGCCGUAGCCAAGUGAUUCAUUGUCAUUAACAUGACUUAUACAACAACAGCGAAUUGCAGACAGUUAAACGCUAAUAAUCAUAACCACAAAUGUACAUAGUGUCGGUUGGGGACUUGGGAGAGACAGAGUCUCCGGUCACUACUGUGUGGUCUUUGACUUAGAGACUCUCUGCUCUGUUGAGUUAGUAGAGGAACAGUCUGAAUCGGUGAAACAGUGUGGCUAUUUGUUAUCUGGUGUUCGUGUGGUAAUGCAGAUAGGUGUCUGUAUGGUGUUGAAGAAGAUUGUACGGUUUGGACGUCUAAGAAUGGACACUCUGAUGGGAGGUUAGAUUUGUUUCAGGCCGAUGAGAAGAUUAAGAAAAGAAGAAGAUGUCUUGCGUGAAAAGGUGUAGAGAUGUGUAUAUAAUUCUCAUGGACAUGGUACAGAAGCCAGUCUGCAGCUCUUUUAGCGUAGAAAUGUUUAUGUCUUAUAUGUAUCAAAACCUUGUUUGAUUAUAUGAGAACCAUAUAUAACAAGUAGUACAAACUA